AGUGAACGCUGGCGGUAGGCCUAACACAUGCAAGUCGAACGGCAGCACAGUAAGAGCUUGCUCUUACGGGUGGCGAGUGGCGGACGGGUGAGGAAUACAUCGGAAUCUACUUUUUCGUGGGGGAUAACGUAGGGAAACUUACGCUAAAACCGCAUACGACCUACGGGUGAAAGCAGGGGAUCUUCGGACCUUGCGCGAUUGAAUGAGCCGAUGUCGGAUUAGCUAGUUGGCGGGGUAAAGGCCCACCAAGGCGACGAUCCGUAGCUGGUCUGAGAGGAUGAUCAGCCACACUGGAACUGAGACACGGUCCAGACUCCUACGGGAGGCAGCAGUGGGGAAUAUUGGACAAUGGGCGCAAGCCUGAUCCAGCCAUACCGCGUGGGUGAAGAAGGCCUUCGGGUUGUAAAGCCCUUUUGUUGGGAAAGAAAAGCAGCAGGUUAAUACCCCGCUGUUCUGACGGUACCCAAAGAAUAAGCACCGGCUAACUUCGUG
RNAcentral lists this ribosomal RNA (492 nucleotides) under uncultured bacterium. RNAcentral's name for it is "partial 16S ribosomal RNA". It matches the Rfam family "Bacterial small subunit ribosomal RNA", at positions 29 to 507 of the family's 1533-position model. The record is from RNAcentral.